Molecule: ribosomal RNA, 2918 nt
Filed under: Pseudomonas syringae
Lineage: Bacteria; Pseudomonadati; Pseudomonadota; Gammaproteobacteria; Pseudomonadales; Pseudomonadaceae
Description: 23S ribosomal RNA
Rfam family: Bacterial large subunit ribosomal RNA
Source: RNAcentral
GUUAUAUGGUCAAGUGAAGAAGCGCAUACGGUGGAUGCCUUGGCAGUCAGAGGCGAUGAAAGACGUGGUAGCCUGCGAAAAGCUUCGGGGAGUCGGCAAACAGACUGUGAUCCGAAGAUGUCUGAAUGGGGGAACCCAGCCAUCAUAAGAUGGUUAUCUUGUACUGAAUACAUAGGUGCAAGAGGCGAACCAGGGGAACUGAAACAUCUAAGUACCCUGAGGAAAAGAAAUCAACCGAGAUUCCCUUAGUAGUGGCGAGCGAACGGGGACCAGCCCUUAAGUUGUAUUGAGAUUAGCGGAACGUUCUGGAAAGGACGGCCAUAGUGGGUGAUAGCCCUGUACGCGAAAAUCCCUUUGCAAUGAAAUCGAGUAGGACGGGGCACGAGAAACCUUGUCUGAAUAUGGGGGGACCAUCCUCCAAGGCUAAAUACUACUGACUGACCGAUAGUGAACCAGUACCGUGAGGGAAAGGCGAAAAGAACCGCGGAGAGCGGAGUGAAAUAGAUCCUGAAACCGUAUGCGUACAAGCAGUGGGAGCCCACUUUGUUGGGUGACUGCGUACCUUUUGUAUAAUGGGUCAGCGACUUAUUUUCAGUGGCGAGCUUAACCGAAUAGGGGAGGCGUAGCGAAAGCGAGUCUUAAUAGGGCGUCUAGUCGCUGGGAAUAGACCCGAAACCGGGCGAUCUAUCCAUGGGCAGGUUGAAGGUUGGGUAACACUAACUGGAGGACCGAACCGACUACCGUUGAAAAGUUAGCGGAUGACCUGUGGAUCGGAGUGAAAGGCUAAUCAAGCUCGGAGAUAGCUGGUUCUCCUCGAAAGCUAUUUAGGUAGCGCCUCAUGUAUCACUGUAGGGGGUAGAGCACUGUUUCGGCUAGGGGGUCAUCCCGACUUACCAAACCGAUGCAAACUCCGAAUACCUACAAGUGCCGAGCAUGGGAGACACACGGCGGGUGCUAACGUCCGUCGUGAAAAGGGAAACAACCCAGACCGUCAGCUAAGGUCCCAAAGUCAUGGUUAAGUGGGAAACGAUGUGGGAAGGCUUAGACAGCUAGGAGGUUGGCUUAGAAGCAGCCACCCUUUAAAGAAAGCGUAAUAGCUCACUAGUCGAGUCGGCCUGCGCGGAAGAUGUAACGGGGCUCAAACCAUGCACCGAAGCUACGGGUAUCAUCUUUUGAUGAUGCGGUAGAGGAGCGUUCUGUAAGCCUGUGAAGGUGAGUUGAGAAGCUUGCUGGAGGUAUCAGAAGUGCGAAUGCUGACAUGAGUAACGACAAUGGGUGUGAAAAACACCCACGCCGAAAGACCAAGGUUUCCUGCGCAACGUUAAUCGACGCAGGGUUAGUCGGUCCCUAAGGCGAGGCUGAAAAGCGUAGUCGAUGGAAAACAGGUUAAUAUUCCUGUACUUCUGGUUAUUGCGAUGGAGGGACGGAGAAGGCUAGGCCAGCCUGGCGUUGGUAGUCCAGGUUUAAGGUGGUAGGCUGAGAUCUUAGGUAAAUCCGGGAUCUUAAGGCCGAGAGCUGAUGACGAGUGUUCUUUUAGAACACGAAGUGGUUGAUGCCAUGCUUCCAAGAAAAGCUUCUAAGCUUCAGGUAACCAGGAACCGUACCCCAAACCGACACAGGUGGUUGGGUAGAGAAUACCAAGGCGCUUGAGAGAACUCGGGUGAAGGAACUAGGCAAAAUGGCACCGUAACUUCGGGAGAAGGUGCGCCGGUGGAGGUGAAGCAUUUACUGCGUAAGCCCCUGCCGGUCGAAGAUACCAGGCCGCUGCGACUGUUUAUUAAAAACACAGCACUCUGCAAACACGAAAGUGGACGUAUAGGGUGUGACGCCUGCCCGGUGCCGGAAGGUUAAUUGAUGGGGUUAGCGCAAGCGAAGCUCUUGAUCGAAGCCCCGGUAAACGGCGGCCGUAACUAUAACGGUCCUAAGGUAGCGAAAUUCCUUGUCGGGUAAGUUCCGACCUGCACGAAUGGCGUAACGAUGGCGGCGCUGUCUCCACCCGAGACUCAGUGAAAUUGAAAUCGCUGUGAAGAUGCAGUGUAUCCGCGGCUAGACGGAAAGACCCCGUGAACCUUUACUAUAGCUUUGCACUGGACUUUGAAUUUGCUUGUGUAGGAUAGGUGGGAGGCUUUGAAGCGUGGACGCCAGUCUGCGUGGAGCCAACCUUGAAAUACCACCCUGGCAACUUUGAGGUUCUAACUCAGGUCCGUUAUCCGGAUCGAGGACAGUGUAUGGUGGGUAGUUUGACUGGGGCGGUCUCCUCCUAAAGAGUAACGGAGGAGUACGAAGGUGCGCUCAGACCGGUCGGAAAUCGGUCGUAGAGUAUAAAGGCAAAAGCGCGCUUGACUGCGAGACAGACACGUCGAGCAGGUACGAAAGUAGGUCUUAGUGAUCCGGUGGUUCUGUAUGGAAGGGCCAUCGCUCAACGGAUAAAAGGUACUCCGGGGAUAACAGGCUGAUACCGCCCAAGAGUUCAUAUCGACGGCGGUGUUUGGCACCUCGAUGUCGGCUCAUCACAUCCUGGGGCUGAAGCCGGUCCCAAGGGUAUGGCUGUUCGCCAUUUAAAGUGGUACGCGAGCUGGGUUUAGAACGUCGUGAGACAGUUCGGUCCCUAUCUGCCGUGGACGUUUGAGAUUUGAGAGGGGCUGCUCCUAGUACGAGAGGACCGGAGUGGACGAACCUCUGGUGUUCCGGUUGUCACGCCAGUGGCAUUGCCGGGUAGCUAUGUUCGGAAAAGAUAACCGCUGAAAGCAUCUAAGCGGGAAACUUGCCUCAAGAUGAGAUCUCACUGGAACCUUGAGUUCCCUAAAGGGCCGUCGAAGACUACGACGUUGAUAGGUUGGGUGUGUAAGCGCUGUGAGGCGUUGAGCUAACCAAUACUAAUUGCCCGUGAGGCUUGACCAUAUAACACCCAAGCAAUU